RNAcentral lists this ribosomal RNA (211 nucleotides) under uncultured bacterium. RNAcentral's name for it is "partial 16S ribosomal RNA". It matches the Rfam family "Bacterial small subunit ribosomal RNA", at positions 1282 to 1500 of the family's 1533-position model. The record is from RNAcentral.
CCGUUCUCAGUUCGGAUCGGAGUCUGNAACCCGACUCCGUGAAGCUGGAUUCGCUAGUAAUCGCGCAUCAGCCAUGGCGCGGUGAAUACGUUCCCGGGCCUUGUACACACCGCCCGUCAAGCCAUGGGAGCCGGGGGUGCUUGAAGUGCGUCGCCGCAAGGCGCGCCCUAGAGCAAAACCGGUGACUGGGGCUAAGUCGUAACAAGGUAAC